ACGCUCGACACCUACGGGAUGCAGCAGUGGGGAAUAUUGGGCAAUGGAGGCAACUCUGACCCAGCAACGCCGCGUGAAUGAUGAAGGUCUUCGGAUUGUAAAGUUCUGUGACGGGGGACGAACACAAUGACGGUACCCCGAUAGCAAGCCACGGCUAACUACGUGCUAGCAGCCGCGGUAAUCUGAGCGGGCUGGCAAGGC
This 201-nucleotide ribosomal RNA is filed under the name uncultured bacterium. Its description in RNAcentral is "partial 16S ribosomal RNA". It matches the Rfam family "Bacterial small subunit ribosomal RNA", at positions 326 to 539 of the family's 1533-position model. The record is from RNAcentral.